RNAcentral lists this transfer RNA (85 nucleotides) under Felis catus (domestic cat). It matches the Rfam family "tRNA". Rfam says of the family: Transfer RNA (tRNA) molecules are approximately 80 nucleotides in length. Their secondary structure includes four short double-helical elements and three loops (D, anti-codon, and T loops). The record is from Rfam by way of RNAcentral. Lineage: Eukaryota; Metazoa; Chordata; Mammalia; Carnivora; Felidae.
GCCUGGGUGGCUCAGUCAGUUAAGCAUCUGACUUCAGCUCAGGUCAUGAUCUCACAGUCUGUGAGUUCGAGCCCCACGUCAGGCU